RNAcentral lists this ribosomal RNA (637 nucleotides) under uncultured bacterium. RNAcentral's name for it is "bacterial SSU rRNA". It matches the Rfam family "Bacterial small subunit ribosomal RNA", at positions 202 to 839 of the family's 1533-position model. The record is from RNAcentral.
UAAAGAUUCAUCGCUGAUAGAUAGGCAUGCGUUCCAUUAGGCAGUUGGCGGGGUAACGGCCCACCAAACCGACGAUGGAUAGGGGUUCUGAGAGGAAGGUCCCCCACAUUGGUACUGAGACACGGACCAAACUCCUACGGGAGGCAGCAGUGAGGAAUAUUGGUCAAUGGGCGUAAGCCUGAACCAGCCAAGUCGCGUGAGGGAUGAAGGUUCUAUGGAUCGUAAACCUCUUUUAUAAGGGAAUAAAGUGCGGGACGUGUCCCGUUUUGUAUGUACCUUAUGAAUAAGGAUCGGCUAACUCCGUGCCAGCAGCCGCGGUAAUACGGAGGAUCCGAGCGUUAUCCGGAUUUAUUGGGUUUAAAGGGUGCGUAGGCGGCCUUUUAAGUCAGCGGCGAAAGUCUGUGGCUCAACCAUAGAAUUGCCGUUGAAACUGGGAGGCUUGAGUAUGUUUGAGGCAGGCGGAAUGCGUGGUGUAGCGGUGAAAUGCUUAGAUAUCACGCAGAACCCCGAUUGCGAAGGCAGCCUGCCAAGCCAUGACUGACGCUGAUGCACGAAAGCGUGGGGAUCAAACAGGAUUAGAUACCCUGGUAGUCCACGCAGUAAACGAUGAUCACUAGCUGUUUGUGAUACACAGUAA